Molecule: ribosomal RNA, 426 nt
Filed under: uncultured bacterium
Lineage: Bacteria
Description: bacterial SSU rRNA
Rfam family: Bacterial small subunit ribosomal RNA
Source: RNAcentral
UGGGGAAUUUUCCACAAUGGGCGAAAGCCUGAUGGAGCAACGCCGCGUGUGUGAUGAAGGUCUUCGGAUCGUAAAGCACUUUCGACCGGGAAGAAAAACCUUUGGCUAACAUCCAGGGGCCUGACGGUACCGGGAGAAGAAGCACCGGCUAACUCUGUGCCAGCAGCCGCGGUAAUACAGAGGGUGCAAGCGUUGUUCGGAAUUAUUGGGCGUAAAGCGCGUGUAGGCGGCUUUGCAAGUCAGAUGUGAAAGCCCACGGCUUAACCGUGGAAGUGCGUCUGAAACUGCAGAGCUUGAGUCUCGGAGAGGAUGGCGGAAUUCCGCAAGUAGAGGUGAAAUUCGUAGAUAUGCGGAGGAACACCGGUGGCGAAGGCGGCCAUCUGGACGAGCACUGACGCUGAGACGCGAAAGCGUGGGGAGCAAACA